Molecule: ribosomal RNA, 696 nt
Filed under: Triticum aestivum (bread wheat)
Lineage: Eukaryota; Viridiplantae; Streptophyta; Magnoliopsida; Poales; Poaceae
Description: partial small subunit ribosomal RNA
Source: RNAcentral
AUGUGCGAGAAUUUCUUGGGUUGUCGGCCACACUGGGGCCUCUUCAAACACAUCUUUACCUGUCGUUCUCAGUCGGUCAAAAAGGCCAAUCUGAGUGAUGAGAGGACACAUGUGAUCCAAAUGUGUGGGGGUCUUGGGAUCCAAAUGAGAGGAAAAAGCACUUUCCCAGCCAUGAUUCUUCCCGAGUCAGUCAGAGGGUGGCAGUCGACUAGGUUCUACUACAAAGACCAGCCGACUCCAGGUCAGUCGACUGGACUUCCCCCCUUUUCCAUGGCUCGAGUCGAGAAGCCCUCCGCCUUGAAAGUGACCCCGGAGGAGAAAGCGGAGGUGAAGGUGCUGGUUGGGCGAGUGGUCCAGCUCGUCCGUGAUGGCGUGACCGACAUGGAUCUAUUGGAGGUCUUCCUCAGGCGACGCAUUCAGCCAUUUCAAGCUCGUGACCAUCCGAUGUGGAUGUAUUCGGGCAUUGAUGAUUCCACUCGGAUCCACCCAGAAGAGGUCGACGAGGAUACGGUGGAGAAGUGGUUGAGGGGCAUCACUGGCAACAAAGAUAACCCCAGGGGGUCUAGGAGAGUCCCUCCACUCGACAACUCGUAUGAAACAGACAAGGCCCUUACUGAGAUGUACUCAAUGCCCAACGGAGAGCAGGAGCAGGACCCGGAAGGAGAGGCGAGCGGAGGCGACAACAUGGACUGGUGA